AUUGAACGCUGGCGGCAUGCCUAACACAUGCAAGUCGAACGGAAACGAUGGAAGCUUGCUUCCAGGCGUCGAGUGGCGGACGGGUGAGUAAUACUUAGGAAUCUGCCCAUUAGUGGGGGACAACUCGGGGAAACUCGAGCUAAUACCGCAUACGCCCUACGGGGAAAGCGGGGAGUCUUCGGACCUCGCGCUAAUGGAUGAGCCUAAGUCGGAUUAGCUUGUUGGUGAGGUAAAGGCUCACCAAGGCGACGAUCCGUAGCUGGUCUGAGAGGACGAUCAGCCACACUGGGACUGAGACACGGCCCAGACUCCUACGGGAGGCAG
This 324-nucleotide ribosomal RNA is filed under the name uncultured Pseudomonadota bacterium. Its description in RNAcentral is "bacterial SSU rRNA". It matches the Rfam family "Bacterial small subunit ribosomal RNA", at positions 30 to 351 of the family's 1533-position model. Lineage: Bacteria; Pseudomonadati; Pseudomonadota. The record is from RNAcentral.